CCGCCCUUAACUCAGUUGGUAGAGUGGCAGACUGUAAUUGAUCAGGUAUCUGUAUGUCCCCGGUUCGAAUCCGGGAGGGCGGA
RNAcentral lists this transfer RNA (83 nucleotides) under Blyttiomyces helicus. It matches the Rfam family "tRNA". Rfam says of the family: Transfer RNA (tRNA) molecules are approximately 80 nucleotides in length. Their secondary structure includes four short double-helical elements and three loops (D, anti-codon, and T loops). Further hydrogen bonds mediate the characteristic L-shaped molecular structure. tRNAs have two regions of fundamental functional importance: the anti-codon, which is responsible for specific mRNA codon recognition, and the 3' end, to which the tRNAs corresponding amino acid is attached (by aminoacyl-tRNA synthetases). tRNAs cope with the degeneracy of the genetic code in two manners: having more than one tRNA (with a specific anti-codon) for a particular amino acid; and 'wobble' base-pairing, i.e. permitting non-standard base-pairing at the 3rd anti-codon position. Lineage: Eukaryota; Fungi; Chytridiomycota; Chytridiomycetes. The record is from Rfam by way of RNAcentral.